Molecule: transfer RNA, 74 nt
Filed under: Eubacteriaceae bacterium
Lineage: Bacteria; Bacillati; Bacillota; Clostridia; Eubacteriales; Eubacteriaceae
Description: tRNA-Gly
Rfam family: tRNA
About the family: Transfer RNA (tRNA) molecules are approximately 80 nucleotides in length. Their secondary structure includes four short double-helical elements and three loops (D, anti-codon, and T loops). Further hydrogen bonds mediate the characteristic L-shaped molecular structure. tRNAs have two regions of fundamental functional importance: the anti-codon, which is responsible for specific mRNA codon recognition, and the 3' end, to which the tRNAs corresponding amino acid is attached (by aminoacyl-tRNA synthetases). tRNAs cope with the degeneracy of the genetic code in two manners: having more than one tRNA (with a specific anti-codon) for a particular amino acid; and 'wobble' base-pairing, i.e. permitting non-standard base-pairing at the 3rd anti-codon position.
Source: RNAcentral
GCGGGUGUAGCUCAGUGGUAGAGCCCCAGCCCUCCAAGCUGGUUGCGAGGGUUCGAUCCCCUUCACCCGCUCCA